This 360-nucleotide long non-coding RNA is filed under the name Monodelphis domestica (gray short-tailed opossum). RNAcentral describes it as "lncRNA (ENSMODG00000030330.2)". The record is from RNAcentral. Lineage: Eukaryota; Metazoa; Chordata; Mammalia; Didelphimorphia; Didelphidae.
AGAGAGGCUGCUACAAGAACCUGAUGCUGCUUAAUGGUAAUGGAGGUAGAACAGAAAUGCUGGGGGAUGCCACACAUACAGAGAUGCUGAUCUACUUGCAGCUAAUCAGACAGCUUCCUCAUGCUUCUCAAGACUGAGAGACCCUCACUGUUCUUCAAGCCAGAGUCUCCUCCUUCUCCGGAUUCCACUCCUGGGGCCCCUCCCCUAUCAAGUGGAUCAUGGCCAGAUAUGAAGAGGAAAUGGAUCACAUUUUUGGACAAGAUAUACACAAAAGAGCCAUUACAUAGGGCCAACGAUAAACCAAUCCAGGAUGGAUUGAUGCACUUCCAAGCCAAUACAAAGGACUUGACCCUAGUGUGA